Molecule: long non-coding RNA, 516 nt
Filed under: Fukomys damarensis (Damara mole-rat)
Lineage: Eukaryota; Metazoa; Chordata; Mammalia; Rodentia; Bathyergidae
Description: lncRNA (ENSFDAG00000027955.1)
Source: RNAcentral
CGCCCACCCCCGAGCCUCCUGGUCAGCGAAUUUGUCGCACGUUUUAGCCUCUGAGACUUUAGGCAGAAGAUGGGUUCUAGUCUAAGACUGCAAAAUCUGGGAUAGAGCGGAGAGGGAGGGGGCUGAAAGAGAACAAACCAAAGGCCAGCGUGGAGGCACGUGGCCAGUUCCUGUGGACAAUCUGUGCUUUUGACCGCAGGCGGAAGCGACUCGAGCGCUGGCCUAGGGGGCACGGCGCGUGCAGGCCGCCAGGGUCCCCACGCUUCGCGGCCAAGGAGAGGCCGGCCAGGUGGGAGGAGCAGCUGGACCGUCACCCUACUUACAAUCCAGCCAUCGACCGCACUGACCCCACCAGCCGAGCAUGAUCAGGUGAAUUCUCCGCAGUUCAGAAAACACUGGAAAGAUGAUCAUCUCAUCCUUGUUUCUGCAUAGCCCAGUGGAGAGAGGAGGGGACACCCACAGUUAUGGUAUGUUUAUGUGCCUCUUUUUACCUGCCAUCAAUAUGUCUUGCAGUAA